GACUCCUUCUUAAAGGAGUGGCCAGACAUAGCACUUGACAGAGAUUUGUGGAGACAUUGGGGGGAGGCCUUUGCCCAGCAGUGGGACACGACAGGCUCCAAAUAAUAAUAAUAACAAUUCGUUAUUUACGAUACAAGUGCGGAAAAGAGGAAAUUCGAACGAGUGGCGAUAAAUUAAAACACGACCGAAGGGAGUGUUUUAAAUCCACACGAUUUGCAAAUUACCUAUUCGCACGUGUAUCGUACAACGUUUUACAGUACAUGGCCCUUUAAGCUUUUGACAUACGCACGAAAAGUGCUAUUUUACGCACUAGUGCGGGAAAAUAGGACCAUAAUUAUAUACUUUAAAUGAUAUUUUUAUUAUUAAUUUGUAUAAAUGAAUGUCAUUAGUCAUUGCCUACAUUAAAUGUACUUAAUCUAUGCUUCCAUAAAUAUAUUUACUAUCAUUAUCAAUAUAUUACAAGACGUUGCACAUA
Molecule: long non-coding RNA, 475 nt
Organism: Cydia fagiglandana
Lineage: Eukaryota; Metazoa; Arthropoda; Insecta; Lepidoptera; Tortricidae
Exons: 2
Source: RefSeq, a predicted model, not a curated record